This 125-nucleotide small RNA is filed under the name Marmota monax (woodchuck). Lineage: Eukaryota; Metazoa; Chordata; Mammalia; Rodentia; Sciuridae. The record is from RNAcentral.
GCUGGGCACGGUGGCGCACACCUGUAAUCCCAGUGGCUCAGGAGGCAGAGGCAGGAGGAUCGAGAGUUCGAAGCCAGCCUCAGCAAUGGUGAGGCUCUAAGCAACUCAGUGGAAUCCUGUCUCUA